This 15151-nucleotide long non-coding RNA is filed under the name Malus domestica (apple). Its description in RNAcentral is "long non-coding RNA (MDOM_LNC001564)". Lineage: Eukaryota; Viridiplantae; Streptophyta; Magnoliopsida; Rosales; Rosaceae. The record is from RNAcentral.
CGGCUGCCUUGAGGAGCUCAGACUCAGUCUUGGAAGCAGGAGAUGGGAUGGCAAAAAUCGUCACGGUGAAAUUCCGGUGGGUGAGAAGUCGUUUUGCGAGUUCGAGGACGGGGAUGAGGUGGCCGAGGCCUGGGCUGCAAAGUAUGGCAGCAUGUGGCUGUGAGCUCGUGGUAGACGAAGGGCAAUGGCUUUAGCCAUUAGUGCACCGGUUGAGCUUUAAAAAGGAAAACAAGCAAAUCAAAAUAAUCUUUGGACAAGUUUACUUUUAGAUUAAUACCUUAAUUAAGAUUAAAAAUUAAAUUAAAUUCCUUAACCUCAUGUCCAUAUCAGCAUGCAUAUUCCAACUCGUACUUUAUUUUUAUUUUUGUUUUAGGAUUUUGUUUUGGGAUUUAGAUCCUCUCCUGAGCUAAUGGAGAUGAUCCUUCUGACCAGGCUAUAAUUAUUAUAACUUUAAAGAGGAUCCAAAUCUUAAAAAAGAAAAAAAAUUAAUUAAUUAGAAAACUAUGUUUUAUUUCAAAUAGGAUUUUUAACAAAUUCUAUCAUGCCACAUGUCAUUAUCUAAAAUUAUAAUUUUUCUGAAUAGAUUUUUUAUUAUAUUUUUAACAAAUCCCCGUGGUGCCACGUGUUAUGAUUCUGGAAGAAUUUUAUAGAUAGGUUUUCAAUAAGAAUUUCAACUAAUCUCAUCACGUCAUGUGUCACUAUCCAAGAAUAUCAAGGGAUAACUUUUUUUUAUUUUUUCAAUUUUUAAGUCGAAAAAAUCUGGACCAUUGAUGAUAUAGCCAUUACAUAAUCGAACGGCCCACGAUACACCCCAUGUACUUGUCAUUAAGAAUGAGUUCAAAAUUUUAAAGCUAUUGGAAAUUUAACGGCACCUAAAUUUAGUCGUUGGAAAUUCAACGUACAACAAUUGCCCACGUUGCCCCUAAUUCGGAUGGGUUGAGUGCACCUGCAGAGCAACUUUUUGUUCGGGUCAUUCUUGCUGACUCUUGUGUGAAAGUCCCCACGCUUGACGCAAAAAAAAUAUUAAUGUGGCUGACAUCAAAUGGACUCAGGUGCAUACCCGCGACUUCUAUGUAACUAGAUAAUAGAGAAACUAAUAGAAACUAAGACUGUUUUACGAAAUUAAAAUGAAAUAGUAAGUAAAUAUAAGAGGUUGAAAUGUUUAAUAUGUUGUAUGAAGUUGUAAUUCAACACAAACUUCAAAAUGCAAAAUGUAAAUUACCCUAAGUUUUUAAUAUCUAACCAAGAAAGAAAAGAAUUGGGUCGCAAUAAAAUCGUGGUUAGCUAUCCUUCAUAGUUUGGGUUUUUGAUGUUUAAAGUUGUUCAGAAGGCGCUUUAGUAGUCAAUUUCGAAGCCCUCAGAAACCAUUGGUCUGUUUUAAUAGGGAAAGUAUGAAUAAAGGUCAUAUUUUAUUUCCAAUUUUAAUGUAGCCACUAGUACAGAAAACACUUUGUGCAACUUAGGUCUUUCGUUGCGCAAAGUAAAAAAACGUCGUGCAAAAAUUAGCCCAACGAACCUUCAUCGCACGCCAACGGUCGCGCCAAGGCAAUGACAACAUGACACACCCCGACCCAGAGUAUCCACUAGGAUUCCGACUCGAGUCGUGCUAGCCGACACCUGGAAGAUGACGAAGCCAUAAAGUGUGAUAACGUGGAAAAAGUGAAUAAAUUUAAACCUAAGAGUGCCUAAAUACCAGAGUAUGCUAGUGAACGGGAACGAACCCACUUCACACGUGACGUUAAAGCAUAAGUAAGUACAGUAGAGUGGAUAAGGAUUUUACCCUCAGAAGUAGCCACCUAUCCUGAGAUUUGCCAAUAAUCCUCGUCGAUACGAACAUUCAACAAUUAAAACCUGGAAGGCUGCCAAACAGAAUAUUUGAGUGGGUAAAAACAAAACGUUUGAAACCAUAAUUAUCUUUAUAGUAAUCCUCUUUGCAAAACUGUAUAAUUUCUGAGAAUUCACUAUGUAUAAGUAUGAUAUCAAAUGUACGCUAACAUUAAAUCCAGAAGUAUACCAUAACACAGCAGCUCAACAGAAAUAUAAAUAAUUGUCUGCUUAAUAAUCCAUACUAGUACGCAAGUCGGAGUCACCUAUGGUGACCUGUACAACUGCACCCAUAUCUCAUCAAUCAAUGCUAGAACAUAAGUCGGAGUCACUUAUAGUGACCUGUACGACUUAUCCAUAUGUCAUCAAUCAAUUCUAGCUCAUAACGGAGUCACCUAUAGUGACCUGUACGACUUAUCCAUAUCUUAUCAGUCAAUGAUAGCUCAUAAGUCGGAGUCAUUUAUAGUGACCUGUACGACUUAUCCAUAGCUCAUCACAUAUCCCUGCACACGAGUCGGAACCACCUAUAGUAGUCUCUACGACAAGACUAGGUGUAAAUAAGUACGCUCAAGUGCUACGAUCAUGUGAAGAGUGUGUGAAUAAAUGCGGGUUACCUACGAGUCGGAACCACCUAUAGUGGUCUGUAUGACAGGACUGUGCACCUACCUUGGAUCCAAGGUGAGCAUAAAGUGCGGGAGGUGAACAUCACGUGAAGGACUGUGCCCUGGCCAUGAGCGGGAGCACUAACACCGAGGUGCAGGUUUAUGAGCUCUAAAUGAAUCUAUUGUAACAUAUAUGACUCAUGGGUAACCUGUACGAUAGUGUCGGAGUUGCCUAAAACUUACAUGUAGUCAUACCAUAACUCCAUCAUUUCUACUAAUACCAUAAACUCACAUGAACUUACCUGGGUGUCCUGCGUUCACCUUUGCACUUCAAAGCAUUCAUAAUAAUUAUGUGCAUGUAAUAUUGUUGACCCUAAAAACUACUAAGCCUACGUGGCCUUCGGUGAAUGCGGGGCGUGCCAACUCGUCGGUCGAGCUCGGCCAAGGAGUAAAUUUGUUGAUGUUGCGUUGGGUGCGCUGCUGACUUCCGAAUCUCGCGACUACGGCCGAGGAAGGAACACUCUUGGCCUUCGGGUUCUAGAGCUUGAAGACAAGGCUGCUAGUUCUGCAAAGUUCAAUAUCAAAUUCGGCUUUCAAUAUGCCGAAUGUAAUAACUUGUAACACCUCACUUCGCCAAGAAGGCUAAUGAGAUGACCUCGACCAAUAAGGAUUCAGAAAUCCUUCUCGACCGAGACUUGGAUAGAUAACCAACCGUCCUCGCCGUAGUGUUGUUGAUGCCAACGAAAGAUGCUACGAGAUCGGCUGAUUAUACGGCGACAGAGCUAUCUAUGCCAACUGAAGAUAUCAUCGGUUGCUUUCACAGUGCUGUUGAUGUCAACAGAAGAUGUGUCAGCGAAAAGAGAAAAUAAAAAUCUCAAGUUGUUGAGAGAGUUUGCGCAGGGCAGUUGUGUGUUGAAUUGGAAGUCCUUAAAUGUUGCACGGCAUCUUGUAUUUAUAGGGAUGAGUUAGCAGUUCUAUAUGUGCUUCGCGCGUACCAUCCGUAGCUGGCCACAACUUGAACCCCCUGAAGAUAAGCAUUCCAUACAAAUAAAAACUCUUGAUAGCCAUCCCAACGUCAAUUAGCCGUUUAACAAUGACCCAUCAUCAUUGGCUAUUGGCCAUUGGAUUUGACGAAACCAAGUCAAUUUGCAUAGACAUGAAACUCUUCCUAUAGCAUCAUGAGAAACCAUGCAAUAUUAGUACCCAUAUUCAUGUCUAGGUGCAUUAGCCCAUGCUGUGCUUCCACCUGAAGGAUAUGCUAAUUAUUAGCAUAUAUUUCUAUGCUAACAAUUAUCCUAAAUCAGAAUAUGCCGCACCAUUAUCUCAGAUAGCACCACUAAUCAAAAGGUAACCUUCAUGCAUGGUUAACCGACUCCAAGCAUACGUCUAAAUGCCGAGAAUCCCAAAUCAAAUCAAACUACAUAGCUCGCUUUCAAGUUGGAGAUAUAAUUUGCAUCCUAUUUAUCCCGUAUGAGAGAAUUUCAAGAUAAUUCAUAUUAAAAGAUAAUUAUUAUGAUAAAACCAUAAUAUUAUCCUUUAAUAAUAAUAAUAAAAUUAUCUUCACUUUUCCAUCCAAUGGUUGGAAGCUAUGCUCACUCAACAGCCUUGACUACACGGACCGAUGGUGUAAAUUCGGGUCCAAACAAAUAUACAUAUAGAUAAACCAUGAUGCAAUCUGAUACUCAACCAUGUUAUAGCAUUUCCAUUUACACACACACACACACACACACACACACACACAUAUAUAUAUAUAUAUAUAUAUAUAUAUAUAUAUAUAUAUAUAUAUAUAUAUAUAUAUAUAUAUAUAUAUAUAUAUAUAUAUAUAUCUCACAUUUUCUACCAAUGUCCCUCACAUUGCUUAAUUCCCUAAACAAGGCUAUUGUCUCAAUUAUUUAGUCUCAUUUAUUGUAUGGUUGCAUCUAACGUCUCGUUAGACUGCCUACGUACCCUAAACAGGGAUUAAGCCAUUCGUAGUUCACAUUAGUACUUCAAAGCAUUCACAGUAAUUAUAUGCAAUAAUCAAUUUAUAACCGUUUGUGGAAUUAUCAAUCAUAUAUAUAUACCAUAUAAAGGAAAAGACCCACUUACUUGAGGUCCACGCUAAGACUCCCUAGCACGCAUACCGAGACAUCACGAACCAUCGUCGCCUAUGACCAAUUAUCAAAUCACAUCUCAGAGUUCAUACCGAUAAAAUACACAAUUUACAUAAAACAAACCCUACGUAAUUCAAUUCGGAAGAUAACAGAUUUCCGAUCCGUUGCUUCCAAAGAUCCACAUUAUACUUCUAGAACAACAUUCUAAAGUCCCAUUACGAUCCAACGGUCGGAUCUCUGCCAAUUGUCAAAACCAAGUGGCAAUUAACCUUUUAUUUUAUGAACUUACAAAUCCAAUUCGGGAAGAUCCGUAUAUCGGAUUCCUGACCCGUAAGUUCCUAUGGUCCUCAAAUAUUACGUACUAUAACGUAUUAAAGUUUGGUGACGAUCCGACGGUUGGAUCGUCGAUUCAUACAAUGACCUAUUAACGUAACGUAGAGAAUUUAGAUUCCAACGAUCAACCUACAUCAUACAACUACCAAAAAUGAACUCGAGACAUCUAAUUAGCCUAAGAUUAACAUCAACGGCCCCGGCCACGCGCCGCCGUGGGUAGUGGUCGGCCGUCCCGAACCGCCGAAAAAUCCAACUAUUUCCAAAAAUUACUAAAAUUUACAGAAUUGUAGGUCUCAAUGAGUGAAGCAACUUUCAUACGUGUGACCAAGGCCAAUUAGGCUGAGAAACACCUCAAUUUUACAUAAAUCCGUUGGAAACCUUAAAUAGGGGCUACUUCGAUUCGACCUCCAUGCUCACUCCGACGCCUCCACAAGUGUUUGGGCUUUGUUCCUGAGGUUGAGGGGAGUCUAUUGGUGGUGGUAAUUGGAGGAGGUAGCUUCAAAUCAUGGCAGAAUAGAACCCAACCAGUGCGCCCCUUCUUGUACGGUUUUACCCAAAAUUCACCAAAUUUCCACCCAAUUUUCACAUGAAAAUGGAAAAGGGAUCGGUUGGCCUUGUGGUAAGGGUCAUUUUGACACUAACCUUGUCGUCCAAGGUGGCGAGAGAUGGGAGAAUCCACCGGGUUGGGUCACGAGUUAAGGGAAACUCGAUUUCCCCUUUUUCUUUUCUCCUUCAUUUCCCCUCCUUUCCUUCCUCUGGUUGGUCACCUUCACUCUCUCUCUUCCUUCCCUUGGCCGAAGCUCUCUCUCCCUUCCUCUUUGAUUGGGCAGCCAAUACCCCUUCUUCUUUUUCCCCUUCUCCCCCUGUUUCUUCUUCUCUUUCCCUCAAUUUUUACCAAAGGUAAUCUUAAAAUAAUGUAAUGGUACUUAAGAAAAUAUAUAAAAUAAUAAAUGGUAAUAUCAAUACCCCAAUCCGCUUUUGCUUACGCCUACACAGCCAUAUUGUCGAGUACUACAGAAAUACGCUAAAGGAAUAUUUCAUACGUCUCACUAUACGUUGGUCAACGAAAGUCAAUACCCUCGCCUCUCAGGGCAUUUUCGUAAAUUCACACGUUUAAAAUUUAUAAAAUCAUAGAACUAGGGACGGGUUGUCACACAACAUGGUUUGCACGACGAAGAAGUAACCUAUGUCACUCAAAGUAGUUUUGCACAACGUAGGUUACUUCUUUGUCGCACUAACCCUUUUUUUUGGUAAAAAUAUUUUUUAUUUAAUUUUUAAUAAAUAUUAUAAUUAAAUUCUAAACAAUAAUUAAUAAACCAAGAAAAUUUAUUUAAUUAUAAAAUAUAUAAAAAUGUAUAUACAAGAUGUCCGAACAAAAAAGAAAAAACUACAACAAGUAGUCUUCUAGGUUUGAUGCUUAAUGUUUUCUUCUAUUAUAAAUUCUCUCCAUGUAAGAUUAAUUGGUUAAGCUAAAUUAUCAAUUAAAAUGUACUUUUAUUGAUAAUUUCAGGGAUGUAACACGAUCAUCGGCAUGCCAUGCAUGAGUUAAUUCAGCUUUAAGCUCAUGCAACCGAGAAACAUAUUCCUGGCCCAUGAUGACCUUGCCCCCCUCUUCUGCAAAUUUUUCUAGAUCUUCCAGUUCCUCCAAAUGCAAGCUUGUCGAAGGUUUCUCAUGUGCUGUAAAUUCAUAUCAGUAAAACAAACCAAAGUGACUAUCAUAAUUGCUCAGUUGGGCAACAAAAAUACUUCUGAAAUGAAUACUUGUUCCAAAAAAUUGUAGGAACAAAGCAAAGGAGGCUGACAAAUUUUUCCUACCUUUUGUCAUGUCUAGGGAUGGGCAAAGGUUAUGGUAGAUGGGUAACCGUGGUUAUUUACCCAUAACCAUUUAUGUUCAUACCCGUAUAACCGUUUACCCAUUGGGUAAUACAUAAACAGUUAUACCCAUACCCAUAACCGUUUAUAAACGGUUAACCAUAUCCAUAACCGUAUACCCAUUUAACCAUAACCAUUUACCCGUUUUUGAACCCGUUUAUCCUUUUUUUUUUUACCCAUUUGCCCCUUUUUCACCCGUCUACAUGUUUUCUUUUAACAACUAGAAAAUUAUAAAAGAAAAGUUUGUCAUAAUUUUCGUUAUACCCAUGGUAUGUGCUUACCAAUACAUCGUUAUAACGGGUAUCAAUUUAAAGCAGUUUGUACAAAACCUAGCUAGUUCUGGAAUCACAAAUGCUCGGCUUUCUCCACCAUCUCAUGCUAUUUCAGAUGAUGGUAUGCAUCUGUCCUAAACUCUCUUUCGAACCUUGUCAUUAGUCCAGACCAGAUUUUGUUUUUUAAGUUUUUGUGUAAUAUGACAAUUCUUGUACUGAGGCUUCACCUCAUAGCUUUCCUUUCUACGGAUACAUGCCGAGAAGGCUCUAUGAUCUCAAUACAAAAUAUAUAAACAAAGAUGAAUUAAAGUCACUGGUAAGCACAUACCGCGGCAAUGGAAUACAAUCUGUGGCAGAUAUAGUACCCGUUAUAACCGUUAUAUAUUGAAAAUUACAAUAUAUAAACAAAGAAGACUUUCGUUACAAAAGUAAAAAACAAAAAUAAAGAUUAGUUUUUCAUAUAUUAAAUUAAAUCGGUAAAUGGAUACCCGUUAUAACCGCGGGUAAUACUCAUAACCGCCCAUUUAAAUUUCAUGGAUAAACAGUUAUACCCAUAACCGUAACCGUGAACUUUAAAUUGGUGUAACCGCGGUUACCCAAACCCAUGGGUAUUUUGCCUAUCUCUAGUCAUGUCGGACAUCUGUAAGUGAUAAGAAAAAGGAAAAUAAAAAGUUAGAAGAUAGGUUACAGCUUUCAGUGAGAAACUUAAGGAAGUAAAUAGCUGGAUGAGAAUAGAAGGUAUGGAAAACCAAAAUUUCCUAGAUAGAUAAUAGAGAAACUAAUAGAAAUUGAGAUAGCUGUACGAAAUUGAAAUGAAAUAGUAAGUAAAAGUAUGAGGUUGAAAUAUUAUAAAGGGAGUAAUGCUAGGAAGACUAAAUUUGCAGAUAAAAUUUACAAGCCAAAUUAUGUGUCACCAAUAAGAAAUAAAUAUGUUAAUCAAAACUUAAAUAAUAGUCAAAUUAUCAACAACCACAUCAUAUAAUUUACAAAAUUUGUUUUCAAAUUUAGUUUACCUAGCAUUACCCUUUUAAAAAUGUUGUAUAAGGUUGCAAUUAAUCACAAACUUAAAGAUGCAAAAUGUAAUUUACCCUAACUUUUGAUAUCUAAGUUCUAACGAAGAAAGAAAAGAAUUGGAUCGUAAUCAAAUCGUGAACUGUCCACGGUUUGGGCUUUUGAUGUCUAAAGUUGUUCACGUGGUGCUUCAAUACUCAAUUUCCAAGCCCUCAGACACCACUGGUCUGUUUUAAUAGGGAAAGUAUGAAUAAAGGUCAUAAUCAAUUUCAUCUUUUUAGUGAAGCCCAGCAAAGAUCGAUGUAAAACAAAGAAAUUUUCAAGCUUACCUAAUACCUAUUUAACAAUCCGCAAAACCGAUUUUAAUAUGUUCUUUUGCAUUAGUGUGUAUAUCAAAUUCAAACCAAUAAAGCCAAAACAAACUGAUAGCUACCCUUAAUUAAGAUUUUGUUUGAAAUUUUGUUGUAACAUUACCUUAAGAUUACCCAUUAGUUAUGCAACUAUUAGCUGAUUAUGUCUUUCUAGCAUGUUUAUUGAUAUGAUAUUUACGUAAUUAGGCUUGGCUACGGAGGCUUAUAUUAAAUCCUUUCGUUUAGGACUUAAACCUAUUUAUUGGAGAUGGUCUUACGUCUAUUUGCCAAGCUACCUGCUUCUCGUGAAUUUAACAUGAUUGUUAAAAAAAAUUGGCACUUAGUACUACAGUCUGGUGGUAUUCCUCUUCACUUAGAAGUGAGAGGUCUUAGGUUCGAAUCUCAUGAAUAGAGAAUUCGAUACUAAAUUAGGAUGCCCAUUGUUUAGCUUAACUGAACUCUCCCUUCUUUUAGUGAAAAAAAUAUCAAUGUACUAAAAAAAAAAUUGACUGAACCGAGUUAUGCAGACUUAAAAAAAAUAAAAAAUUGACUGACACAAGUUAUGCAGCAUGAAUAUUCAUCCAUGUAUGAUAACAAAAUAGAUACUUCUUUUUAAAGGGAAAUAUAUAUAUAUAUAUAUAUAUAUAUAUAUAUAUAUAUGUGUGUGUGUGUGUGUGUGUGUGUGUGUGUGUGUGUGUGUGUCUAUAUAAACUUUAAUAUUCAUAACUUCUUCAAUACUCAACGAAAUCAAGUGAUUCAAAAAUGAAAAUCAUACUUCUCGAUGAGACGAAGAGAAUGAUCCUUUUUUGUUGACAGUUAACUAAAGUUAUGAAUGUUUAAAGUUUACCUAGUUUCAGGCGAGUUUUUCAAUUUUCCUUCGGACCAAACAACUUUGCAGCUAUUUUCUGACCAUCUCCCGCAACCAUUGGGCUUCCAAAUAGGUGUAAUCUUAUUCUACACUUUCCUGUCUUCAUUUUGAUAUAUUAUGGGUCGAAUUUGGUUAAGAAACGAUUGAGUUACGAAGCUUUGAAAAUUGCCCAAACUUCCGGCCAAGAGCUCUGGGACACUUAACGGAGUUUUUAACGGAAUGACCAAAAUGAUGGAUGGUGGAAAAUCUCAGGGUCAUUUAUAUUGAUUUGAAAUCUCAGGAAUCAAAAUGAAGAGUUAUGCAAAUCUCAGGAACCAUUUUCGCGAGUUAGCCAUAUAUAUAUAUGUGUGUGUGUGUGUGUGUGUGUGUGACCAGACCAAUUGGUGUGAUUGAGAACAAAAAGAGAACAAAAUUUAUUCUGCACAUGUAAUUUGCCCAAUAGUAGAGAAUACACACCAUUUUGCCAUAUAUCUUAUUGAUGUUUAUACAUCAUCAUACAAUAUUCAAACAGAUUUUUAACUAAAAUGGUUGCUAAGAUUGACCUAAAUCCUCAAUUUGGUCACUAAUAAAGUUUGUUCAUUUUUAUUGUUAAGGACUAAACUGAGAAGUUAAGACAAUUCUCAAGAUUAUUUAGGUUAAAAUGCCUAUUGAAAACAACAAGCAUAUUUGAGAGCCUUCACAUUCUCCAACUCUCCUAGCAUUUUCUUUCAUUGCCACUUGAUAUUUGAGACAGUGCAUUAUAUGACGAACCACCUACGCUCCAUGCUUUGGCAGCACUUAAUUUAAGCCCCUUAACCCUACCUCUUAUGGCCUGACCAUCUUUGUCCACCAUGAUCUUUCUCACCAUUUCCUUUAUCUCUUCCCUGCCAACCAUUUUCUUCGAUGGUAGCACUUUUGAUCUGACGGCAACACCAAGUUCCUCAGUCAACAUUGUAGCGUUCAUCCUCUGCUCCGCAUAGAGUGGCCAAACCAUCAUCGGUACUCCAUUGGUCAUGCUCUCGAGGCUUGAGUUCCAUCCACAAUGUGACCAAAAUCCUCCUAUUGAUGGAUGACUUAAAAUGUCCACUUGAGACACCCAAAGAGGCACAACCAACCCAACGUCAUGAGUCCGGGUCAAGAAUCCUUUGGGCAAAUAGGUUGAUGGGUCAUCGUCUUGAUUUCCUUAAAUAAAAUUACUAAAUGUAAAUGAAGGUAUCGAUUGUAACACAAUAUCAAUAAUUUAUCAAAUACUACAAAUUAGUACAUUACAUAUAUAAGAAUUUCUAUGAAGAUAACAAUUAAAAUUUGAUGAUAUAUAUUAGGUAAGUUUGAAAAUUACCUGAAGUGAAAAAAGCAGCAUCUGCGGAUCUAGCCGGUGGUCGUACAACCCAAAUGAAUCUUUGUUGACUCAAUUCCAAACCCCAAGCCAUUUCUGUCAUCUGCUCCAAGGACACAGUCCCUCCACUCCCUAAUGACACAAAUAUCACAGAUUCACAAGGUUGCUUGUCUAGCCAAUUAAACAAGCCUUCAUCCCUUAUACCGGUUGAGGUUGAACCGGCUGAUUGGACCUGCCUCGUCAAUGGUCCAAUGGGAUAAACUGGCACCUUAACCACUCUGCCCAAGAGUCCCUCAUCCCGUAACGCAUCUAUUGUUUUGUGCUCCAAGUCUUCCCAUGUGUUCAUCAAAAUCCCAUCACUCUUCGGGAAAUUAGUAUCUAUCCUUACAUAUUCCAAAUAUUGUUGGUCAAUCCGGUCCAGCAUCGGGUCAACCACGUCUUCGGGCUGAACGGGCUUGCAACCCGGAAUUCUCAGCGGUUCAGUCUGGUCCACAUACUCUCCUUCCACUUCUUUAUCAAAAACUGGCACGUAGACAGUCAAGGCUACGAACCAUGCAGUGCUAGCAAUGUAAACGUACUUAGGAAUCCCCAGCUCGUCGCCAAUGGACAGAGAUUCGGUGCUGAAGAGGUCAACGAUAAGCACUGUAGGACGAAGAGAAGACUCCAUUCCAAGUAUGGCUGACCGAAACGCAGGUCGUGCUUCACGCAUCAUGACAGCAAGGAGGGUAGUGACAGCAGCAUCGGGGCCAACACAGCCGGAAAUGUCGGGCGGUGGGAGUUCAAUAAUGUCAAAAAAUUUAGGGGUGGCGGCUGCCUUGAGGAGCUCAGACUCAGUCUUGGAAGUAGGAGAUGGGAUGGCGAAGAUCGUCACGGUGAAAUUCCGGUGGGUGACAAGUCGUUUUGCGAGUUCGAAGGCGGGGAUAAGGUGGCCGAGGCCUGGGCUGCAAAGUAUGGCAGCAUGUGGCUGUGAACUCAUGGUAGACGGAGAGCGAUGGCUUUAGCCCUUAGUGCACCAGUUGGGGUUUUUUUUUUUUUUUUGAACAAUUGCGCAUGGCAGUUUGUGUGUUGAACUGGAGUCCCUUAAUGUUGCACAGCCUUCAUGUAUUUAUAACGUUGGAUAUCUACCUGGCACAACCUGAUGGUGCUUGUAGAGUCCAAUUGCAAUUCUUUUCCACGGAACAAAAACUAAUCCACAUCAAAGAACUACCAUAUCCUUCAAAUAGAUGUUCACGAUUUUCCAAACUUCACAAAAGCCUAUCCAAAUAAAAGUCUUAUCACCAUAGCCUAGCCUAUCUAGGCUUGUCAUCGUUAUCCAAGACUAUUAAAUCUUAGACUUAUCACAUCACCAUAAAAAACCAAGCCUAUCUAGACUUCUCCAUAAUCCAUCCAUGCAUGCACCAUGACUUUUCAAACCUCAUCUACCAAGUUUCUCCAAUCUAAUAGCAAUAAUCCCAAGUUCACUCGAAUUGUACUUGUUCGUAGAUAUAAUGCUAAGAUAAUCCAAAUUACAAAAUAAUUACUAUGACAAAAACCAUAAUAUUAUCCUUUAACAAAAAUAUCUUCACUUUUCUAUCCGACGAUUGAAAAAUAUGCUUACUCAACGGCCUUGAUUACACAGGCCGAUGGUGUAAAUUUGGGUCCAAACAAAUGCAUUUUAUAAUUAACUCAUUUUCCCAAUACAAAUCUCAUAAAGAAAAUGAAACAUAAAAUCAAAAGUUUGUAUUUCUUUAAUGGCCUAUUUGCUUCACUUUAACUAGCAUAUGGGCACACGCACAAUUUUUUAUUUUUGUUUUUGAAAUAGAAGAAGAGAGGAAGAGAGGAAGAGAGUGAUAGAGAAUGUGGGAGUGAGAAUUUUUUUUUUUUUUUAAUUAGAGAUGUUAGGAUUACAUGUAGGUGAUGUUUUGAAAAAAAACAACAAAAUUUGGUUUUGUGAAAUUUCAUUUUUGCCUCAUAUUUCUUAUUCAUAUUUUGUUUUAAUUAAAGUGUUAAACUGAUAAUUUCAUAGGAUUUUGGUUGACAAUGAAUGUUUUAUUAAUUAGUAAAGAUGAUCUAGGUUGCAAUCACCAAUAAUUUAAAAGAAAAUAUAAAUUUGCCCUCUCACAUAGAGCUAAGUGCAGUAUAGCGACAGCGACGGUAACACACUUGAAUUUCAUUUAAACAUUUUGUCAAAUACCUUCGGUGCAAAUUUUAAGGGACAAAUUCUUAAUGUUUCAUGAAUCUUUUUUACGACCGAAAGGACGACCGCCCCUCUUGCUCUAUAUGGCCACCGCUCAAAGAUGACAGAUAUUAACUGGCAAGGAAAGCCAAGUCUCGUGGCAAUUUUUAUCUUUAUUUGAAGAGGUGACAAAUACUUUUCUGUAGGGGAGCUUUCUGGGUGUCGUUGAUUGCGUAUUAUUUCAAGAGGCGUAUUCAUAUGAAAUGCUACUGAAGGAUCGGCAUCAGUGAUAGGUACAAUCAUAUUUAUCUCUUUCAUUCCUCUUAAAAUAUCUUUCUAUGAUAUGUUACCGAGAAAUAAAACUAUGACAAUCAGAUCAAUAAUUUUCUUCUGGUUAAUUUAAUUUCAUAUUUUCUUUUAAUUUCUUACAUAUGAGUAAAUAUGAGAAAUGUUGGAAUGAAAUUGAAUCCAUAAUCUUAUUGAUGUUUGUACAUCAUCAUACAAUAUUCAAACAGAUUUUUAACUAAAAUGGUUGUUGAGAUUGACCUAACUCCUCAAUUUGGUCACUAAUAAAGUUUGUUCAUUUUUAUUGUUAAGGACUAAACUGAGAAGUUAAGACAAUUCUCAAGAUCAUUUAGGUUAAAAUUCCUAUUGAAAACAACAAGCAUAUUUGAGAGCCUUCACAUUCUCCAACUCUCCUAGCAUUUUCUUUCAUUGCCACUUGAUAUUUGAGACAGUGCAUUAUAUGACGAACCACCUACACUCCAUGCUUUUGCAGCACUUAAUUUAAGCCCAUUAACCCUACCUCUUAUUGCCUGACCAUCUUUGUCCACCAUGAUCUUUCUCACCAUUUCCUUUAUCUCUUCUCUGCCAACCACUUUCUUCGAUGGUAGCACUUUUGAUCUGACAGCAACACCAAGCUCCUCAGUCAACAGUGUAGCGUUCAUCCUCUGCUCCCCAUAGAGUGGCCAAACCAUCAUCGGUACCCCAUUGGUGAUGCUCUCGAGGCUUGAGUUCCAUCCACAGUGCGACCAAAAUCCUCCUAUUGAUGGAUUACUUAAAAUGUCCACUUGAGACACCCAAAGAGGCACAACCAACCCAACGUCAUGAGUCCGGGUCAAGAAUCCUUUGGGCAAAUAGGUUGAUGGGUCAUCGUCUUGAUUUCCUUAAAUAAAGUUACUAAAUGUAAGUGAAGGUAUCGAUUGUAACACAAUAUCAAUAAUUUAUCAAAUACUACAAAUUAGUACAUUACAUAUAUAAGAAUUUCUAUGAAGAUAACAAUUAAAAAUUGAUGAUAUAUAUUAGGUAAGUUUGAAAAUUACCUGAAGUGAAAAAAUCAGCAUCUGCGGAUCUAGCCGGUGGUCGUACAACCCAAAUGAAUCUUUGUUGACUCAAUUCCAAACCCCAAGCCAUUUCUGUCAUCUGCUCCAAGGACACAGUCCCUCCACUCCCUAAUGACACAAAUAUCACAAAUUCACAAGGUUGCUUGUCUAGCCAAUUAAACAAGCCCUCAUCCCUUAUACUGGUUGAGGUUGAACCGGCUGAUUGGACCUGCCUCGUCAAUGGUCCAAUGGGAUAAACUGGCACCUUAGCCACUCUGCCCAAGAGUCCCUCAUCCCGUAACGCAUCUAUUGUUUUGUGCUCCAAGUCUUCCCAUCUGUUCAUCAAAAUCCCAUCACUCUUCGAGAAAUUAGUUCCUAUCCUUACAUAUUCCAAAUAUUGUUGGUCAAUCUGGUCCAGCAUCGGGUCAACCACGUCUUCAGGCUGAACGGGCUUGCAACCCGGAAUUCUCAGUGGUUCAGUCUAGUCCACGUACUCUCCUUCCACUUCUUUAUCAAAAACUGGCAUGUAGACAGUCAAGGCUAUGAACCAUGCAGUGCUAGCAAUGUAAACGUACUUAGGAAUCCCAAGCUCGUCGUCGAUAGACAGAGAUUCGGUGCUGAAGAGGUCCACGAUAAGCACUAUAGGACGAAAAGAAAACUCUAUUCCAAGUAUGGCUGACAGAAACGCAUGUCGUGCUUCACGCAUCAUGACUGCAAGGAGGGUAGCGACAGCAGCAUCGGGGCCAACACAGCCGGAAAUGUCGGGCGGUGGGAGUUCAAUAAUGUCAAAAAAUUUGGGGGUGGCGGCUGCCUUGAGAAGCUCAGACUCAGUCUUGGAAGUAGGAGAUGGGAUGGCGAAGAUCGUCACGGUGAAAUUCCGGUGGGUGACAAGUCGUUUGCGAGUUCGAAGGCGAGAAUAAGGUGGCCGAGGCCUGGGCUGCAAAGUAUGGCAGCAUGUGGCUGUGAGCUCAUGGUAGAAGGAGAGUGAUGGCUUUAGCCCUUAGUGCACCGGUUGGGGUUUUUUUUUUUUUUUUUUGAACAAAAGUGCACCGGUUGAGCUUUAAAUAGGGACAACGAGCGAAUCAAAAUAAUCUUUGCUCUAAAAUCGUUGGACAAGAUUACUUUUAGAUUAAU